This 350-nucleotide long non-coding RNA is filed under the name Homo sapiens (human). Its description in RNAcentral is "HSALNT0128178". The record is from RNAcentral. Lineage: Eukaryota; Metazoa; Chordata; Mammalia; Primates; Hominidae.
GAUACAGUGAUGAAUUACACAGACAUUGACUGCAUCAGUUUGAUAUAAAUAAGUAACCCAUGUUACGAUGGAGAACCAUCUCCACUGCAUGCCUGAAAAGAACUCUACAACUCCUUUUAAUAUAUUUAAGCCCAUGAAGCGAUCUGUCAACUGGAUUUUUUUCCUUGGAGACCUCUCCAUCCUCCUGCUCUGAUCUGGAAGCAUUGCUCUCUAAGCCUGCUGCACUUUACGGUAAGAACAAGAAAUUUGGACACACAAAGAAAAGACACCAAGUGCACGAGUACCCAGAAGGACAACCAUGUGAAGAGGCAGUGAGAAGGUGCCACCUGCAAGCCCAGGAGAGAAGUUGC